This is a long non-coding RNA of Papaver somniferum (opium poppy), 3443 nucleotides long. RefSeq lists it as uncharacterized. Lineage: Eukaryota; Viridiplantae; Streptophyta; Magnoliopsida; Ranunculales; Papaveraceae. The transcript is spliced from 2 exons. The record is from RefSeq and is a predicted model, not a curated record.
UCUCUCUUUUGCUCUCAGCCCCUCUUCUCUUCCUCUCAGCCUAUGAAAGCAGAUGAAUUUCUGCUCUCAUCCUCUCUUCUCUUCCUCUCAGCCUAUGAACCAAAUCGAGUUUGAUGAAUCAGUUUCGAUUCAGUUUAGCUUCUUUAUCAUCUAUAAUAGGAUUUUUAGGGCUUCAUCAAUCGAUUUUAGGGUUUCAGUCUGUAUUGUGAUUCAUUUUUUCGAUUUUAGUUUGUUCGUCGGAGUUCGAACUUGGAAGAACUGAUCUUCACUCGUCGCUAAUCGUGAGAAAGCACCUGUUCUACUUUGUUUAAUUUAUGUAUCUAUUUUUGGUUUUGAUUUCGAUUUAUUUUCAGCUAGAUUUAAAGUGAUAAUUGAUUUAGGGUUUAUUGUUCAAUCGAUUAUGAGAAUUGGGUUUUUGAUUAGGGCAUUUUAUUCAGAUUUAUUUUCAGAUGCAGAUGAGAAUGAAGUUGAUAAGUUAACAGAUAACCUACAAGGGGUUGGGAUUGCUUCUGCUAGUGCUAAUGGUUGCGUCCUAACAACUUCUAAAGGUAAUUUUGAUGUUUUGGGUUAUUGGUUAUUUUUAGUAUUCUGCAAUAUAAACCCAAAUCUCUUGUGAGGGUGUCGUUUGCAGUCUAUAUUUUUAAUUAGAAUCCAUUGGAGAAAAAGUAGCAAGAAGAAGAUUUUGCAGUAUUGGGUAUAAACCUUAAUCUCUUGCUUAUUUUGUUUGCUAUGCUCUAUGUAAAAAAAGUCAUGGUUGUUUUUAUCUCUGGUUCAUGUCUGUGAUUUUGGAUAUGGAAGUAUGUUAUUCUCUUGCUAGUUCUUCCUUCUGGAUUUUCCAGAGUAGUUUAAUUCUAGUUGUUAAUGUUGUUGUCUAGCUUAAUCUUGCUGCAUACUUUGAGAUGAUGUUUCAUUAUAAGUCUUACAAUGUUUUUUAAACUAUUUGUUUCGCAUCUUAUAGAAUGGGCCUUUCAUUGAGAAGCAGCUAGCUACUGGUUUUUGCUUCAACAUGUCAAUGAUUUGCCAGGCCUUUUUUUGUUUUGUUUACGAGUAUUUAUUUUGGGAGUCCCUUUUGUUUUGACGAUGCUUAGGCUUGGUUUAUUAAAUUUCUGGAAGCCUUUACUAAAUGAAAGGAAUGUCUAGUUUGAUUGUUCUAUUGGUUUUCUAAAUUUUUAAGUUGGUUGUGUAAGACUUACCAGAUAGUUUGAUGAUUACUAGUUACGAGUUUGUAGAACAAUACUGAGGUCAGUAAAUGUUUGUGUACGUGUGUACAAGCGUGUGUUUUGUGAAAAAGGUAUCUCCCAGGAGGUCAGUAGAGAUGCUCUGGGGCAUGUAAGUAAGGAGUGUGACAAGCAAGGUUUCCCAAUGACGCAAGGAGUUUUGACUUCAGGCGGAGUUAGGCUCCUGAUAUAUAGAGCUUCCGUGGACGGGGGAGAUGUAAUGGUGAGAGGAGAAGGAAGUCUGUCCGUAGGUGCAUCAUGAAACCAAGAGAUGUCUGUGUUGAACUUGGUUAUCUUGAAGAAAGGAAAGAAUGAUCUACCUGGGUUGACUGAUGUGUAGCAUGGGUAUGUUGUUAAUUUUAAUACAUAUUCCAGAUUUCUUCAUAUCUGUUGUGCUUUCUCGUUUGAUACAGUUAUCGAGAGCGGUUGAUCCCUAUAAUUGUGGCAUUAGUGUUGUUAUUUUCCUGCAAGAUAAGGUACUGAGGCAGUAGUAAUGUGCACAAAAUGUGGAAAAGAGGAGAUCCUUCUAGAUUCAUUGUUAAGUGCAUAUUUUGCAUAUAUUCAGUGUCGAAUUCAUGCUAGUAAUUACUUAGUUUCUUGUUACGUUUGUUAUGUUUUAUUUAUGUUUUGCUAGGUGAAUCAUCCAAAAGGAAUGAAUUGGCACUUAAUUGUGCAAUAAAAGAAAUUAGCCACAAAUGGAGAAAGGAUAAAUACCAAGUGUAACUCGUUCGAAUCUAGGAGUUCUUGCUAUCAUUUCGAAGAGGACGAAAAUACGAAGCCAACGGCGAAAGAAUGGAGUCAAUCCGACAUUGUAUGAAGAAAUUACGAGCGUCCGAAGUGAGUGAAAUAUACGGAAUUUCUGACGCACAAAAUUGAUAAAGGCGCCGGUUGUAUUACUCAGGGCCACCAUCUUGUCCCUUCCUUUCUGUGACCAGAAGACACUGUGUAUUCAGUUCCGGUGGUAAUUCUUCAUGGCAUAUGAGCACGCUGAUCAUGGUGCGGUGGUGAUUAUCAGAAGCGACGACGAUGGAUCUCGGGGCUGUGUUGCUGUCACUGGCAGUAAUGCAGGAGAAACUCGUGAUGGUUGGAAGUUGAUGUUCUUGGUGAUUUUAUGAGUCAAGCCAUGGUAGAUAAUGAUAGAGAGAGUUCGAACUGUGUCUCAUGUUGAUGGGCAGUGAUGAUCGCUGAUGAUGGAAGAUAAAGAGAUCGACAAGUUCAGGGAAUGGAAUGAAGAUGGUCAUUGCUGCUGUGAUGAUCAUGGCAGUUAACGGCAAUGUCAUACGAAUGAGCUGAGAAGAACAACAGACCGACUAAAGUGAGUUAUAGAUUGGAGAACCCGAUAUGGGUGGUGAACUGUUACUGCCAUUGCCAGCAAAUGGAGGAUAGUGCUGCAAGUCGAGAGGACCUGAAGCUAUACUAUGGAACCUUAACGAGAUGGAGACUGCUGGUGAUUAUUGACGGAAGUAUGGACGUUGGCAGUAGAUGAUGGAGUGUGUUGGUGGUCUGUCGAUCACGAUGGUAUUGAUGGAUAACAUGGAGAUGUUGUUGAUAGUAUUAUUGAUGACGAUGGAGUUUGGAUAGAGAUUUGAGAGGAAUUGGAGCUACGGUAGAAAACCAUACCGUAAGAUAACUCAAGAGUACUACGGUGGAUUUACCCAACCAUACGUAACAACAGGGAAGGUUACGGUGUGAACUUUCAAACCGUAUGAAAACACAGGCGAGGCAAUAAAUGGGAAACACCACAGUACAUAAACACAGGUGAAAUAACGGGAGAAGAGAAAAAUUGUCGAGGGAAAAGUUUAUUGAAGUUCUGUUGUCAGUUUCCUAAAACUGACAAGCCAUUGACGAAUUUGGGUUGGGCUUCUACCAUUCUAUGCGAGCCCAUUAGCUGUUUUCAAAAAUCCUUCACACGGACAGACUUUAGGACGUGACUUCCUUAUGGCAUUUCGGCUAGUUUUGGCAAUUGAUUUGGACCGGGAUUUGGCGCAUGGGCACAACUAAGGGUGCACACGGUACGGUUCGGCUCGGUUCUUACCAAGACCAAGUACAUGUACCUCCCUAGACUCGGUCCCAAAAUUUUGGACCGGUACCUGUACCUCGAUUCCGAUACUGUUCGGGACCAGUACGGUUCCGGUACUAUACUGGGUUCCAUACUUUGCAAUUUUUCCUGUUAAUAAGGACCUGUUUUACUAAGCAUGUAUUGAAAGUAUUGUUAUUUGUUAACAA